RNAcentral lists this ribosomal RNA (482 nucleotides) under uncultured bacterium. RNAcentral's name for it is "partial 16S ribosomal RNA". It matches the Rfam family "Bacterial small subunit ribosomal RNA", at positions 30 to 507 of the family's 1533-position model. The record is from RNAcentral.
AUUGAACGCUGGCGGCAUGCCUUACACAUGCAAGUCGAACGGUAACAGGUCUUCGGAUGCUGACGAGUGGCGCACGGGUGAGUAAUACAUCGGAACGUGCCCGAUCUUGGGGGAUAACGAGGCGAAAGCUUUGCGAAUACCGCAUACGAUCUACGGAUGAAAGCGGGGGAUCUUCGGAGCUCGCGCGGUCGGAGCGGCGGAUGGCAGAUUAGGUAGUUGGUGGGAUAAAAGCUUACCAAGCCGACGAUCUGUAGCUGGUCUGAGAGGAUGAUCAGCCACACUGGGACUGAGACACGGCCCAGACUCCUACGGGAGGCAGCAGUGGGGAAUUUUGGACAAUGGGCGAAAGCCUGAUCCAGCCAUGCCGCGUGCAGGAUGAAGGCCUUCGGGUUGUAAACUGCUUUUGUACGGAACGAAAAGCCUCUUUCUAAUAAAGAGGGGUCAUGACGGUACCGUAAGAAUAAGCACCGGCUAACUACGUG